This is a long non-coding RNA of Astyanax mexicanus (Mexican tetra), 409 nucleotides long. RefSeq lists it as uncharacterized. The transcript has 2 exons. NCBI's taxonomy places the organism in Eukaryota, Metazoa, Chordata, Actinopteri, Characiformes, Acestrorhamphidae. The record is from RefSeq and is a predicted model, not a curated record.
GCAGCGGUGUUUCUGAAACAAAUCACCCGCCUUGAUAACUCACCUUAAAAAUACGGGACAAAGCGCGUCCCGGAUCAAUUCAAUACGUAACGCGUAUUUUACUGCCCAAAUACGGGACGAUUACGGAUUUCAAGGAACGAUCUGGUGGAAACCAGUGAGAGCUGGUGAUGGAUUCAGAUUCCACCUCGGGAUUCUGAGGAAGUUGUGCCGGUGCAGAGUCGGGCAGGAUCCAGAUGAUGUUGGGCUGAGGCCGACCUCCCUUCGCUGAGCAGAGAACCUGCAGGAUGUCCUGUCCAUUCUUCUGUUUCACUUCCAUCUUCAUACUGAUGCUGGGAGGAACUGUGAAGAAAGAUCUCACAGUGAGGGGAUCCCGAUUAUUAAUAGAACAUUAAAUAAUGACAUUAAAUUU